AACCCCGCCCCUCCCUGCUGCUCUUGUCUGUUGCUGCUUUUGGUACCUAAUCUUGGCUCUUUGGACUGCAGGCGUUACACGAUGAAAAAGGUAUUCGAGGCUCCAGUGUCCCUGCUCAGGUCAGGACCAUCGACUAAUGGAGUCCUUAACCAUCUGCCCCAUCCACAACAGCUCAGAAAAGUACUUGAGCUUAGAAGGAGCACUUAAAAGAAGUUGUCAAAAGAAAGAAAUACAACACCAAUUUAAUAAAUUGGAGAGGAGGCUGCAGAAAAGAAGCCCUCGUGAACAAGGCCCCACAGGAGUACCGUGUGACAGAACUCGAACCCCACACUUCUCAGUACUGGUACUCGUAUGGAUUAUUCUAAUGUUCAGUCUCAUGUUGGCGAAGAGCUUAUAAACCGUUAUGUAAGCAUGUCCUCAUAUGACUUUGGUCGAUAAAGAUGGCUCCUUGUUGCCUGAUGUUUCCCACAGUCUUUUUAAAAACCUGUUUCCUG
This 494-nucleotide long non-coding RNA is filed under the name Scleropages formosus (Asian bonytongue). RNAcentral describes it as "lncRNA (ENSSFOG00015029175.1)". Lineage: Eukaryota; Metazoa; Chordata; Actinopteri; Osteoglossiformes; Osteoglossidae. The record is from RNAcentral.